GCUGGGUGUGGUGGCUCACGCCUGUAAUCCCAGCACUUUGGGAGGCCGAGGCGGGUGGAUCACCUGAGGUCAGGAGUUCGAGACCAGCCUGACCAACAUGGUGAAACCCCAUCUCUA
Molecule: non-coding RNA, 117 nt
Filed under: Pan troglodytes (chimpanzee)
Lineage: Eukaryota; Metazoa; Chordata; Mammalia; Primates; Hominidae
Source: Rfam by way of RNAcentral